UGGCCACAGUCCUGGUAGGAGUUAAGAUUCACGCAGGUGCACAGUGCUUCAAUCUGCGCUUCUGAGGUGAGGUUUCGUGCUGCUCAUGAAUGAACCUCCAAAUGAGAUCUACCUUUUCCGACUGGAAUGUGUAUUAGCAGAUAUAACUAUCACUGCUGAUCAAACGUAACUGCAAAAAGGGGCUUCCUGAGUGCCAGCUGUAUUGGGGUCUUAUUAUAGGUGGGUACCUGCAGUUCCACAGGGGCGAUUCUGACUUCAGCCCCCACAGGAACGUUUGCUUAUCAGGCCCCGAGAACUCCACUGCAAUCGAUUUGCAUAAUGGGCAAAAGAGCAUUGCAGUGCACCAACAAUGGAAUAUUAGUUCUGCAUCUUUCUGCCAAGAAACAAAACAUGCACUAGAUACUAGAUACACUUAGUACCUCCUAAUUGUUUUGCAAUUUGCUUUUGAUUUCUCUGCUGCAGGAGAAAUGGUGUUGUCAACAGCUGCACACAGAUCACUCCCAGGUCCACAGACUUUCCAAGCACAGCUGUCCAUACAGUGGAAACCCAGCAGGAAGUACCUGCAAAGGUGUCGGAGGACUUGGGCGUCGAACCACAGGGAUGAAUUACUAGCACUGCCAACGCAGGAGUACAGCCUACACUUCAAGGCAGUCGCGUGUCAUUUCCUGGCUGGAAGAGCCGAAGAAAACGGAUGCACUGCUACUGCGCUGUCCUCUUCUGCUCACCAAAGGACACUUGGCCUCUACAAAUCCAAACAUCUGGCUCAGCGGUUUUGUGAUGCUCCGAUGAAACUAAGCGCUGCUAGGAGCCUGUAGUCCGCCCUCCUUUGUCAAGACCCCAUCCCAACACUUCCGGACUUCAAACUUUCAACUGCUGUCGGAUGUCCACUAUCUUUCCCGAUCAGUCUGCUGCUUGCCUCCCUUCUCCUCUUCCUUCGGAGGUCAGCCUUUAAGAUCUCCGCUUCUCCACUUCCUACAGGAUCCAGGAUAUU
Molecule: long non-coding RNA, 991 nt
Organism: Lepisosteus oculatus (spotted gar)
Lineage: Eukaryota; Metazoa; Chordata; Actinopteri; Semionotiformes; Lepisosteidae
Source: RefSeq, a predicted model, not a curated record